AUUGAACGCUGCGGCAGGCUUAACACAUGCAAGUCGAGCGAGCGGCGGACGGGUGAGUAAUGCUUAGGAAUCUGCCUAUUAGUGGGGGACACCAUCUCGAAAGGGAUGCUAAUACCUCAUACUAACAGCUGAGGCACAGCCGGAUUAGCUAGUUGGUGGGGUAAAGGCCUACCAAGGCGACGAUCGGUAGCGGGUCUGUGAGGAUGAUCCGGCACACUGGGACUGGGACACGGCCCAGACUCCGACGGGAGGCAGCAGUGGGGAGUAUUGGACAAGGGGGGGAACCCUGAGCCAGCCAGGCCGCGUGUGUGAAGAAGGCCUUAUGGUUGUAAAGCACUUUAAGCGAGGAGGCGUUACUCGCAGAAUAAGCACCGGCUAACUCGGUGCCAGCCGCCGCGGUAAUUC
RNAcentral lists this ribosomal RNA (405 nucleotides) under uncultured bacterium. RNAcentral's name for it is "partial 16S ribosomal RNA". It matches the Rfam family "Bacterial small subunit ribosomal RNA", at positions 30 to 526 of the family's 1533-position model. The record is from RNAcentral.